CUAUAAGAACAAUAUUUUGGGGUUUUUGAAUAUAAAGUACGGAAAAGUAAACAUGAAUGCAAUUUGAUCAAUUGAGGUUAAACACAAAAGUGGAUGGAUGAUGUUGAUAAUAUGAGAUGGAUUUGUUGCUAGGGUUCAGAUUUCACCCAAUCACUCUCAUAUAUCUACUUUUCUUAUUAAAUUCGCUUUAUUAUCAAUUGCCAUGCAAACUUUCUGAUUUACUCUAAACCCAAUUCUUGGCGAAAAGAGCCUACUAUUAAUUACUAAUUUAUUAUCUCUAGUCUCCCUGAGUAAUUAAUAAUGCAUUAAAGGAUAGAAGCAAAAUACAAUUGAUUGUCCUACCCCUAUCUCUAGGCAGUAUUGCUUAAUCAAGGAAUCUCCUAUCACUUCAUGACUUCCCCGUACGUUCCCGUAUCGAUAAAGGCAAAUGUCUUCUUACCGAAUGAGUUAAACGAUAGAAGCAUUAAGCAUAGAUAAGAAACCCAACAAUUGAUAAU
RNAcentral lists this long non-coding RNA (497 nucleotides) under Vigna radiata. RNAcentral describes it as "long non-coding RNA (VRAD_LNC012091)". Lineage: Eukaryota; Viridiplantae; Streptophyta; Magnoliopsida; Fabales; Fabaceae. The record is from RNAcentral.